This 498-nucleotide ribosomal RNA is filed under the name uncultured bacterium. RNAcentral's name for it is "partial 16S ribosomal RNA". It matches the Rfam family "Bacterial small subunit ribosomal RNA", at positions 28 to 507 of the family's 1533-position model. The record is from RNAcentral.
GACGAACGCUGGCGGCGUGCCUAAUACAUGCAAGUCGAACGAGAGCAACCGGUGCUUGCACUGGUCAAUCUAGUGGCGAACGGGUGAGUAACACGUGGGUAACCUGCCCAUCAGAGGGGGAUAACAUCCGGAAACGGAUGCUAAAACCGCAUAGGUCUUCGAACCGCAUGGUUUGAAGAGGAAAAGAGGCGCAAGCUUCUGCUGAUGGAUGGACCCGCGGUGCAUUAGCUAGUUGGUGAGGUAACGGCUCACCAAGGCCGUGAUGCAUAGCCGACCUGAGAGGGUGAUCGGCCACAGUGGGACUGAGACACGGCCCAAACUCCUACGGGAGGCAGCAGUAGGGAAUCUUCCGCAAUGGACGCAAGUCUGACGGAGCAACGCCGCGUGAGUGAAGAAGGUUUUCGGAUCGUAAAACUCUGUUGUUAGGGAAGAACAAGUGCUAGAGUAACUGUUAGCGCCUUGACGGUAUCUAACCAGAAAGCCACGGCUAACUACGUG